GAUGAACGCUGGCGGCGUGCCUAAUACAUGCAAGUCGAGCGGACGGACUAGAAGCUUGCUUCUCUGAUGUUAGCCGCACGCGUGUGUAUAACGCGUGGAUACCCUCCCUAUCUUACUGGGAUAACUUCGAAAAUCCGGAGCUUAUCCCGUAGGAUCUUUUGAUCCGCAUUGUUCAAAAGUGAAAGUCGGUCUUGCUGUCACUUCUCGAUGGAUCCGCGCUGCAUUAGCUUGUUGGUCAGGUAACGGCUUACCAAGGCGACGAUGCAUAACCGACGGGAGAGGGUGGUCGGCGGCACGGGAACUGAGACACGGUCCAGACGCCUAAGGGAGGGAGCAGUAGGGAACCGUCCGCAAUGGGCGAAAGCCUGACGGAGCAACGCGGCGCGAGUGAUGAAGGCCUUCGGAUCGUAAAACUCGGUUAUGAGGGAAGAACAUAUGUGUAAGUAACCGUGCACAUCCUGACGGUACCUAAUCAGAAAGCCACGGCUAACUACGUG
This 497-nucleotide ribosomal RNA is filed under the name uncultured bacterium. RNAcentral's name for it is "partial 16S ribosomal RNA". It matches the Rfam family "Bacterial small subunit ribosomal RNA", at positions 28 to 507 of the family's 1533-position model. The record is from RNAcentral.